AACCUCCGCAAUGUGAGAAAUCGCGACGGGGGGAUCCCAAGUGCCAUUCUUAACGGGAUGGCUUUUCAUUAGUGUAAAAAGCUUUUAGAAUAAGAGCUGGGCAAGACCGGUGCCAGCCGCCGCGGUAACACCGGCAGCUCUAGUGGUAGCAGUUUUUAUUGGGCCUAAAGCGUCCGUAGCCGGUUUAAUAAGUCUCUGGUGAAAUCCUGUAGCUUAACUGUGGGAAUUGCUGGAGAUACUAUUAGACUUGAGACCGGGAGAGGUUAGAGGUACUCCCAGGGUAGAGGUGAAAUUCUGUAAUCCUGGGAGGACCGCCUGUUGCGAAGGCGUCUAACUGGAACGAUUCUGACGGUGAGGGACGAAAGUUAGGGGCGCGAACCGGAUUAGAUACCCGGGUAGUCCUAACUGUAAACGAUGCGGACUUGGUGUUGGGGUGGCUUUGAGCUGCUCCAGUGCCGAAGGGAGCUGUUAAGUCCGCCGCCUGGGAAGUACGGUCGCAAGACUGAAACUUAAAGGAAUU
RNAcentral lists this ribosomal RNA (520 nucleotides) under uncultured bacterium. RNAcentral describes it as "bacterial SSU rRNA". It matches the Rfam family "Archaeal small subunit ribosomal RNA", at positions 345 to 866 of the family's 1478-position model. The record is from RNAcentral.